UACGGAGGGAGCUAGCGUUGUUCGGAUAUACUGGGCGUAAGGCGCACGUAGGCGGCGCCGUAAGUCAGGGGUGAAAUCCCGGAGCUCAACUCCGGAACUGCCUUUGAAACUGCAGUGCUAGAAUUCUGGAGAGGCGAGUGGAAUUCCGAGUGUAGAGGUGAAAUUCGUAGAUAUUCGGAAGAACACCAGUGGCGAAGGCGACUCGCUGGACAGACAUUGACGCUGAGGUGCGAAAGCGUGGGGAGCAAACAGG
Molecule: ribosomal RNA, 253 nt
Filed under: uncultured bacterium
Lineage: Bacteria
Description: partial 16S ribosomal RNA
Rfam family: Bacterial small subunit ribosomal RNA
Source: RNAcentral